This 166-nucleotide ribosomal RNA is filed under the name Cronobacter sakazakii. RNAcentral's name for it is "partial 23S ribosomal RNA". It matches the Rfam family "Bacterial large subunit ribosomal RNA", at positions 2580 to 2745 of the family's 2925-position model. Lineage: Bacteria; Pseudomonadati; Pseudomonadota; Gammaproteobacteria; Enterobacterales; Enterobacteriaceae. The record is from RNAcentral.
UUCGCCAUUUAAAGUGGUACGCGAGCUGGGUUUAGAACGUCGUGAGACAGUUCGGUCCCUAUCUGCCGUGGGCGCUGGGGAAUUGAGGGGGGCUGGUCCCAGUCCGAGGGGACCGGGGGGGACGCAUCACGGGGGGUCGGGUUUUCAUGCCAAUGGCACUCCCCGG